This 440-nucleotide ribosomal RNA is filed under the name uncultured bacterium. RNAcentral's name for it is "bacterial SSU rRNA". It matches the Rfam family "Bacterial small subunit ribosomal RNA", at positions 338 to 771 of the family's 1533-position model. The record is from RNAcentral.
CCUACGGGUGGCUGCAGUGGGGAAUAUUGCACAAUGGGCGCAAGCCUGAUGCAGCAAUGCCGCGUGUGUGAAGAAGGCCUGCGGGUUGUAAAGCACUUUUAUCAGGAAAGAAACUCCUAAGGUUAAUACCCUUAGGCUUGACGGUACCUGAAGAAUAAGCACCGGCUAACUCCGUGCCAGCAGCCGCGGUAAUACGGAGACCUCGAGCGUUACUCGGAUUUACUGGGCGUAAAGGGUGAGCAGGCGGCCAGGUGUGUUAGGUGUGAAAUCCCGGGGCUUAACCCCGGAACUGCGCCUAAAACUACCUGGCUAGAGUCUCGGAGAGGACAGUGGAAUUCUAGGUGUAGCGGUGAAAUGCGUAGAUAUCUAGAGGAACACCAGUGGCGAAGGCGACUGUCUGGACGAGUACUGACGCUCAAUCACGAAAGCGUGGGUAGCGA